RNAcentral lists this long non-coding RNA (663 nucleotides) under Bos taurus (domestic cattle). RNAcentral describes it as "long non-coding RNA NONBTAT018167". Lineage: Eukaryota; Metazoa; Chordata; Mammalia; Artiodactyla; Bovidae. The record is from RNAcentral.
UUUCAAUGGGGGGGCACUCACAUUUUAUUAUAUGAAAGCAAAAAAGUGGUGUGUAUCCUAAUAUAACUUUUAAAUGAUUAUACAGUUCAUAAUUUUGAAAGUCUUAAUUGCAAUAACAAUCAGAUGAAAUUUGAUGAUUUAGCAUAUUGACAGUUGAUCCUCUUGGGAUCUAAUGCCCCUAAAAUCCUGCCUCUGAAAGAAUCUUUAUUAACAGUAUGCUUUUUUUUAUUGCACUAAUAAAAACUAACCCUUGUUCUUUGGGAUGAUAUAGUUCAUAAAGUUGUGCCACAGUUUGUGCUUGGAUAGUGGCAAGAGUGAAAUGGAUAAGAAAUACAGCAUGACACACAGGAAGCUGUUAUAGACAAGAGGGUUUAAUCUCCUACUGUAGAUUACUUUUCUUCUUGGAUGGUAUAUUUAAUAGCUAAUGAACUUCAUGUUUUUCUUUUUGAAGUCAGUAUCUACAUACUAUAAAUAUACACAUGUAAAUAUAUUCAUUCCCUUUAAGUUUGUAUGUUUGACUAUUUGCAGAUACGAUCAGCUUCAUCAGUUUUCUAUAUUACUUAUAAAGCUUUUAUCCUCAUUUCUAAAAGAAGAUACAAGAAAAUUCAGAUUCACCUUUGUAAAAUGGGGUCACUAUAGCAAUAUCAAAGAGCUACUGUAUAG